Molecule: transfer-messenger RNA, 392 nt
Filed under: Cyclobacteriaceae
Lineage: Bacteria; Pseudomonadati; Bacteroidota; Cytophagia; Cytophagales
Also listed under: 1 other name
Description: UBA2336 sp002344065 Standard tmRNA
Rfam family: transfer-messenger RNA
About the family: Bacterial tmRNA, also known as 10Sa RNA or SsrA, is named for its dual tRNA and mRNA-like properties. Its role is to liberate the mRNA from a stalled ribosome.
Source: RNAcentral
GGGGCCGACCGGUUUUGACAGGAUGUGUUAUAACGUGUGUAAGCAUGCAGGCUCAUGGGAUGAGAGCCUUAAAAGAUAGUCCUAAACCAUACGUGGCGAGACUAACUACGCCAUGGCUGCUUAAUCUGACAUAACGUUGGGUUAGCUUACCCCGAUUAAGAAUUGGGGGGCCAUCAUCGCUCAGUGCGCUGUUCUGCAGGUGCUGAUAUAGCGGUGUCGUUUUGCAGAACUGCUCUGUGUGACGUUACAUCAUGCAGCUAAGAUACCGUAACUACGGAAUGCGUUGGCUGUUGCCUGCCGGCAUAUUCCCGACAAUCAAAGUCAACUAAGCAUGUAGAAGAUACGAUUAUGAUCUUCUCUGGACCAGGGUUCGAUUCCCUGCGGCUCCACUU